This is a non-coding RNA of Pogona vitticeps (central bearded dragon), 409 nucleotides long. The record is from RefSeq and is a predicted model, not a curated record. NCBI's taxonomy places the organism in Eukaryota, Metazoa, Chordata, Lepidosauria, Squamata, Agamidae.
GUCUAUCGGCUGAAAGGGCAGGAGAUUUAGCCGCUUCUGAAGACAAAGCAGGAGGAUUCAUGGCUGUUUGCCAAAGCUCCUGAGCCAAUAUGUCCAGUAAAAUUAAGUGGUGGAGCUUACUGAAUUCAUGCAGCGACAGCUGAUCCUAGUACCAGCCUGUGUAGCCAGCAUCAAAAAUGCAUGAAGAUUUCGAACGGGGCAAGUUCCAGAACAGAACCUGCAAAAAUGCCGCUUUCACAAGAUUACUAUGAGUAUGGAUGAUUUUGAAAAACUGAGUAUAUGUAAUAGUUCAUGUAAAUGCAAUUGCUUCCCCUUGCUUCAGCCUUUCCAGUACCCCAAGACAAAGCAGCAGCUCACAGACGGAGUAGAGCCCACAGAUAUGUGGCUCCCAUCCAUUUGCUCUUUCUCU